UGGAUUCUCGGCUGAGCUGGAGAGGUCCAGGCUGUGACUGGUCCCGUUUACAGAGGUCAAGGAGUUGCCCAUGGAGCCUGAGAGUGGCCGAGUAGCAAGAGCGCUGUCCUGCUGACGGCUGCCCUCCAUGGACGCUCCUCCUGGCGGCAGGGCCUCGGCCCUAGACAGGCCAUCACUGCAGGGCAUGUUCCUGGGAUCUGUCCCACAGAGGGUCCCUGCCCCCUGCCUCAGGCAGAGGGUGACGCUGGCUGUGGAAACCUGGGCAUAGGCCUACCUUCCCUUCUUCAGGGGUCCCCUGUGUCCCCUGGGAGCCAGGUCUAGAUUAGGCUCCUCCACACACACUCCCUGGAAGGCGGGUCCAGGUUGUCCCCCCCGCUAGGAGCUUGGACCAGCUUCCCCAGCUUGGACCAUGGCCGAGGGUGUGCGUGUUGGAGAGACCAGAAGAUGUCCCAAGGAGGGCAAGGCCUGGGGACUGCAGGGGCGCCUGGAGUGGCUGUGGUGGCCUUCCUGGAGUCUGCUGGGGCCUCCCCUCUCUCCUCCCACCCUCCCCUUCCCUCUCUCUUCCCCCAGGAGACUGCUCGGCCCCACCUGGGUCCAGAGAGACUGGCUAGAAUCCUGACCUGGCCUCCCCUAGCAGUCCCCUAGCCGUGGGACGUGGGCCACGCCACUCUUUCUCUGAGCCUCGGCUUCCUUGUCCACCAACCCAGAAGCGUGAGCAUCAUGGCAGCCACAUUUUGGGGUGGCUGGAGAUGAAGGCAGCGUGUCUGUAGAGGCCUCGUUCUGACAUUUAGCCGCCAUUGAAUAGGUCACGGCUGUUGCUAUCCGGUCCUUGCUGGCAUUUAUGUCCAGCCCACAGGAGGGGCCUGUGGUGCCUUCCCCAGGAGCACGGCAGGGGGCAGCAGAGCCCCUCCUUGGCGGCCAGGUGCUCGCUCUUCUGGGUAGGCAGAGCUUCACCCCGUGGGUGAGCCUGGACUUGAGGGUGGAGCCCUGGAGGACUUCAGACCUGCCAUCACGUCAGCACUUGGGUCCUGAGCACCCAGCUGUGUCCCCACCACUGGGAAGAGGCAGAAGCGGAGGCAUGGGGCUCCCUCCCGCCAGCCCUCCUGGCCCCCCAGGGCUCUCAGCUCCCUCCUCUUCCACCCUUCCUUUCCUCCUCCUUCCUCUCAGCUCCAUGCAGUGCACACCUGCUGUGCCCCGUGCCCCGUGCCCCGUGCCCCACGCUAGGGACCCGAGACAGGGAACAGCACCGCAGCUGUGCCCUCUGGAACCUCCCGACUCAAGCAGAGAAGAUAAUAAGCAAAUGGAUAAAAGAGAGAAGAAAGAGCCCUAUGGAUCCUGGCAGCCCAGACCAAUCAGAACAGUGGGUGAGGAGGGGGCAGGGUGUGGGCAGCAGAGGAGCAGCUGGGGCCAAGGUCCUUGUGCCACCUGACACGGUGGUGGGGAGGAGGGAGAGCGGCACAGACUGCAGGUCAGCUCACCUGCAGCAAGACUACUGCCAACAUUAACUGAGCACUUACUACACUGCAGGCACCUGGACUGUCCUGUUUUACAGAUGAGAAAAUUGAGGGGACACAGCCAACGUGGGGGCUUCGGGGUCCUGGGAGGCCAAGGGAAGGAGACGGAACAAGAAAAAGCCACACUUCGGUGGCCUGUUGGGGUGCUGGCACCCCCCUGGGUCACUCGGUGUUAUUUAAUGUGAAUCAUCCUCAUCACUGAGAGGACUUCAGAAGGAAUGGAAUCGGGGUCUCACAGGGAGGUGACCUGCCCGAGGUCAUAGUCAGCAAGUGGCAGACCUGAGACGGAACCCAGGUCUCCCAAGUUGGCAGGUGUGUCCCUGUGCCCCAAAGCCUGGAGUCCCCCGGGGCCUGCGGGUCCCUGCUGGAGCUCCCAAGGAACCCUGAGCCCACCCACCGGAGGCCCAGCUGCAUCUCACCAGGCCCUGCCCACUGCCCACUGCCCUACUCCCAGGAACCCUGUCACCUCUCCCUGGUGGCUCGACCCCGUUUCCUUCCCUCAUGAUGCUGUGACAACCUGAGGUUACUGUUUACUUGGGUGGGUUGUCUCCCCCACCAGAGUGCACCCCAGCCCCAGGGAACCCCAGCCUCAGGCCUCAGCCCGAGCCCCACAGCCCGCACAUGCCACCCUGACAGGUCAUUCAUCCUCCUUCCUGUCCCCGAGCCUGGCCCUGGGCAUGGUGCAGAGGAAGGGCUCAGUGAAGGUGGACGGAUGGAGGGACAGGUGAUGGGCAGAUGAAGGAUGGAUGGAUGGAUGAAAGACUAUUGGCCUGAGCUUGUGCUGGCCCUGUGACCCACAGGAAGGUCAGAGAAGAGACAGCAGUGGGGGCCCAGGCAGCGGGUCCUCCUGUGGGGGGCAUCCGGGGCAGGGGCCGUGUCAGGGCCAAGGACCAGGCCGACAGCCAUUCUGGCCACACCCCAUCACAUGUGCAGAGCCAGUAUGGGGGGACCCCAGGGUGCGACCCCGGGAGCAUCUCCUGGACAGAGCAGGGACAGGCUGGAAUCCUUGGGGCUGGAGCAGGAGACCGAGCUCACCAAGGGUUGGCCUGGGCCGGCAGCUAUGGGACCUGAGCCCAGGCAGGGCCCUGGACAAGGCUGCUGGCCCUCUCUGGGACACCAUGAUUGGCUUCAGCGGGGCCCUCAAGCCUCUGGGACACUGCCUGCGGUGCUUCCAGAAGACACACAUCAGCCAGAAAUGGCAGAGCUAGGCUAGGGGCCUGGAGGGAGGUGACUCAGGGCCCUGGUCUUUGCUUAGUGUGACGGGCGGUGCCUCUUUCUUGGAAGUCAGGCUCACAGGUGGCUCCGGGAGGAGGUAGGGGGUCAAAUGCCUCUGGAGGGAGGGUGGGGUUGAGGGACCAGACCCGCUGCAGGCGCCAGGCCUGUGCCUCUGAGCUGGCCGCCAGUACCUGGUGGGACCUUCCCAAGCGCAGUCUGACAUGCCAGGCUGUUCGUGGGUGCUUCGGCCGCUUCCCGUGGUUCAGGGUCCCACGCCAGACCUGGACUUGGCCCCCAUCCCCUCACCUAUGACACCUACCCACCUCUCCAGUCCUGCGUCCCUCAGCCCCCUGCCCAGCCCCUCACCCUCUGCCACCUGACAUGCGCAGCUUUUCCUGAACAGACAGACCACCUCCUCUCUAAGGUCCCUGCUCCGCCAUAUGCUGCGUGCCUGCGUGGGGUCACCUUCCCAGGACACUACUCCCAUGCUUCCCCUGCUGGACUGAAGGCCUGGCUCUGGCCCCACGGCCUCAGGUGGUGGGGCAGCCCCAGCCUGGCUGCUCCCAUCACAAGCUGAGCCGGCCACCGGGUGACCCACUCCAGGAGGCCUGGCAGGGGCUUGCGCACGGGCACCCGGCUAGAGGAGGGCAGGGGCGCCUCCUGGGGGAGCCUGGGCUGGAAUCCAGAGUCCCAGGUGGAGAAAACGUGGGAGCAGCCAGCCUCAGAAGCAGCUAAUGAGGGCUGCGAGACCCAUGUCCUGUCCACCCACCCCAAGUCCACGUCAGCCUGCGCUGCCAAGGCGGCCAUGGCCCGCCGUCCCUCCCAGCGGCCGACAUUGCAACACCAUUCAGGAAUCCAUGGGCAGUUGUUCUGAUUGGACAUUCUGGGUCACAUGACUGGGAGGACAGCAUUGAAGGCGGGUUGCACCCAGCAGAGCUCGACCUUGGCCUUGAGAGGGGUGGUUUCAAGGCAGCCCCCAGGCAGGCAGCUGCCAAGGAGAGGGGUGACCUCCAGGACCUGUGUUCACACUCUGCCCUGCUCUGAGCGGUGUGGCCUCGCGGCCUCGCGUGGGCCUCCACUCUUGCCUUACGCCACCAGAGGCUCACGUGGACUUGGACCCUCACAGCACACCAGGCACUUGAGCCGUCCCAGACCCACCUGAGACCCUGCCAGCUCCUUUCCUCUCUGGGCCUCAGUGUUCCCCUCACAAAAGGGGUGUGACCAAAAGCACUGAUUCCAGAGUUUCGCAUCUCAACUGUGCAAACUGGGGCACUACAUAGACUUCUCUGGGCCUCAGUCCCCUCACCUGUAUAACAGAUCAUAAAGUUUCCACCCCAUAGAAUCAUUGCAAAAAUUCCAACGAGUCAAAUGGGUAUAAAACACGUGGCUCGAGGCUGGCACAAAGUAAAGCUUAUUGAGUUGGAUAAAUAAAAGCAGAGCGUGGUUACCCCCCAACUCGGCCAUCAAACUGUGGCAAUUUGAUGAUUUUUGCGAAAUCUGGAGAACACUCGUUCCAAAACGUAAUCCCUGUUGUUCAUUGGUUCAGUGACUAAACAGAUCCUGGAAGGAAAUGUUAGACUCGCCACCCCAAGUGGAAAACCGGAGUCACUUCCCACGGGGAGAAGGUCGUUAUGAAGAUGAACACAGCCAAUGUUCACCGUGCGUGGGGCUGUCUGCCAAGCAGCCGCCAGCGUCAACUCGCUCGUCCCCACGGCAACCCUGUGAGAGGGACACCACUCUAUCAUCGUCACGUAUGUGGGGAAACUGAGGCAGAGCUGUCGGAAGUCACUUGACAGGUCCCAGAUGGAAAGCAGCAGGCCCCAAGACACAGCUGGAGCAGAGGAACGCACAGAAGAACUCCCCAGGGAGACGGACACGUGGAGAGGCAGGGGGGCCACAGCAGCACCAGCCCGAGACGUCCCCUUGGAUGGUCAGAGGACCAAGGAGACCCAGAAGAAUGACGUUCUCACUGUGUGAUUUGCUGCUCUUUAAGGCCAUGCCUGCGCCAGAUGACUCUGCAGCAUGCAGGCUACGCCUCUGAAGCAGGAGGGGACCCAGAAGCACUGACCAUUUCUACCUCCCCUCCCUGGCAUUUUUAGCUUAGGACACUGUCCAAACUCAAGGCGAGUCAAUGAGGGGAUUAAGAAAGGCUUUAGUGCCCAUUGAUAAAAAUGGGCAAAAUCCUGGAAUUAAAUACACCCGUGUAUCACUUAGUAACAGGGAUGCAUCCUGAGAAAAGUAGUCGUAAGUGAUCGAGUGGAUGCUGGAACAUCAGAGUGUGUGCUCACGUAAACUAAGACAGCUCUGACAUCACCAGGCUGCUAGCUUUCCAGUACUGUAACAAAAUACCUGAGUUGAUCAACUAAAAAAGAGAAAAGGUUUUUGGCUCACAGUUUGGGUGGUGUCAGCUCACUGUCAGGGAGACCUGUUGCUUUGGGGCCUGGGUGAGGCAGCACGUCAUGGCAGGGAGCAUGUGCAGAGCAGGCUGCUCACAAGAUGUGGGAGACAGAGAAAGAGAAAUGCUGUGGCAUCUCAUGAUCCCCUUGGAGGGCCUGAGACCACCCCCUAGGCGUCCCUCUUAAAGCCCCACCACCACCCUGUGGCACCAAGCUGGGGACCAAACCAUUGCCACCAGGGGACACUUACCAAACAAUAGCACUGAGCAAGACAGCAGAUACAUCACUGUGGUGGGGAUCAGGGCUGCCACCAAGGGAAAAGCACACAGGGAAGGGGACGGUGGGGAGCCCAGGCUGGGACCUGAGUGGACAUUUGCUCUCAUGGCUUAAAUACACUGGAGCACCCGCGAGGGCUGAGCUCCGGCUCCGUCUGCUGCGACGACCUGGAACCUCUGUCACCCAGCAUCAGGGAGCCCACCGGCCCCCCAACCCCACUUCCUCAAUAUCUCUGCCCCAGUGAGCAGGGCACUCUGGGAAGUGGACAGUCCCGAGGCCAACGCAGGACACACAGGGACGCCGCGAGCUUCAGUAUGGGCAGAACCUAAGGAGGUGGCCAGAGAAGGCCAGGGGUGCAGUGGAGACACCAGGGCCAGCUGGAGCAGCCUGAGCGCCGAGGGGCACGGAGCUUGGCCACCUGAGUGGAUCAGAGCACAGGGUGUCACACAGGACCCGCAGACGCAGCCCGGUGACAGAGAAUGAAAGCAGGGAGAGGAAGGAAGGAGGAGCCGGAGGAGGGGGGAGCCCGGGAGAAGCUCCUCCUGCUGAAGGGAAAGAAGACCCGGGUCUGUCCCAAGGCCACCGACCACAGGCAAAGCCAGCCUCUGACCUCCGGGAUGCGGGAUGGCAGUCGGUAUGUUUAUCAGAAAAUCUUUUUUUAUUUGUCUGCAGCACCUCAGUCUGGUCUCGGGGAAGCAACCUGACCAACGUCCCCAAGGCUGUGCCACCAACCAGGAAGCUGUGCCACCAACCAGGCAGCUGUGCCCUGCAGAGGUGUCAAGGUCAUGCCACAGGAAGGGGCAGAGGACGCAGCUAUCUGUUCAGAGAAAAGAAAGCAGCGCUGAGGAGCAGCUCUAUCCUGGGCAGGGCCCUGGGGGCAAGAUGAAGGCUGCUGAGGGGCAACCCAGCGCCCACGCAGGCCACCCGGCAUCGGGACUGCGUCACCAGCUGGGAUGGCUGCUCAGGGGUUCCGCUGAAGAGCCACGGGGCCCACAGAUGGCGCUCGAAGAGCCAUGCAGGAGUCCAUGUGCAGGAAAGAACAGGGUCAACACAGGAACCGCUGGCCCAUUUAGGGCAGGGCUCCCAAUCUGUCGCCACUGACAACGGACCAGAUCAAUAUUUGAUUAAUGUCACUAGUUUUUAUUAAUUAUUUUUUAAUUUGUUCUAAUUGGUCAUAAAUGACAGUGGAACGCACUUUGUCACCUGAUACAUAAAUGGAGCACAACUUCUCACUCUUCGGGUUGUACAUGCUCUAGAUUCACACGGGUCGUGUAGUCACAUAUGCACAUGGGUGAUAAUUGUCCCCUUCAUUAUACUGUCCUUCCUUCCCCCCACCUCCUCCCCUCUGCCUAACCCAACGUACCUCUGCUCUUCCCUAGCCACCCCCCUCCUUAUUGUGAAUUAGCAUCUGCAUGUCAGAGAAAACAUUCAGCCUUCGGGUUUGGGGGAUUGGUUUAUUUCACUUAGCAUGAUACUCUCCAGCUCCAUCCAUUUACCGGCAAAGGCCAUAAUUCCAUUCUUCUUUAAGGCUGAGUAGUAUUCCGUUGUGUACAUACACCACAUUUUCUUUAUCCAUUCAUCUGUUGAAGGGUAUCUAGGUUGGUUCUAUGGUUCAGCUAUUGUGAAUU
This 7029-nucleotide long non-coding RNA is filed under the name Marmota monax (woodchuck). Lineage: Eukaryota; Metazoa; Chordata; Mammalia; Rodentia; Sciuridae. The record is from RNAcentral.